UACGGAAGGCAGCAGUGGGGAAUAUUGCACAAUGGGCGAAAGCCUGAUGCAGCUAUGCCGCGUGUAUGAAGAAGGCCUUAGGGUUGUAAAGUACUUUCAUCGGGGAGGAAAAAACAAAACUAAUAAUUUUAUUUCUUGACGUUACCCGAAAAAGAAGCACCGGCUAACUCCGUGCCAGCAGCCGCGGUAAUACGGAGGGUGCUAGCGUUAAUCAGAAUUACUGGGCGUAAAGAGCACGUAGGUGGUUUUUUUAAGUCAGAUGUGAAAUCCCUGGGCUUAACCUAGGAACUGCAUUUUGAAACUGAAAUACUAGAGUAUCGUAGAGGGAGGUAGAAUUCUAGGUGUAGCGGUGAAAUGCGUAGAUAUCUGGAGGAAUACCUGUGGCGAAAGCGGCCUCCUAAACGAAUACUGACACUGAGGUGCGAAAAGCGUGGGGAGCAAAACAGGGAUUAGAUACC
RNAcentral lists this ribosomal RNA (458 nucleotides) under uncultured bacterium. RNAcentral describes it as "bacterial SSU rRNA". It matches the Rfam family "Bacterial small subunit ribosomal RNA", at positions 340 to 786 of the family's 1533-position model. The record is from RNAcentral.